RNAcentral lists this ribosomal RNA (253 nucleotides) under uncultured bacterium. RNAcentral's name for it is "partial 16S ribosomal RNA". It matches the Rfam family "Bacterial small subunit ribosomal RNA", at positions 524 to 776 of the family's 1533-position model. The record is from RNAcentral.
UACGGAGGGGGCUAGCGUUGUUCGGAAUUACUGGGCGUAAAGCGCGCGUAGGCGGUCCUGCAAGUCGGGGGUGAAAGCCCGAGGCUCAACCUCGGAACUGCCUUCGAUACUGCGGGUCUCGAGUCCGGGAGAGGUGAGUGGAAUUCCUAGUGUAGAGGUGAAAUUCGUAGAUAUUCGCAAGAACACCAGUGGCGAAGGCGGCUCACUGGCCCGAUACUGACGCUGAGGCACGAAAGCGUGGGGAGCAAACAGG